Molecule: ribosomal RNA, 253 nt
Filed under: uncultured bacterium
Lineage: Bacteria
Description: partial 16S ribosomal RNA
Rfam family: Bacterial small subunit ribosomal RNA
Source: RNAcentral
UACGAAGGGAGCUAGCGUUGUUCGGAAUCACUGGGCGUAAAGCGCACGUAGGCGGAUGUGUCAGUCAGGGGUGAAAUCCCGGAGCUCAACUUCGGAACUGCCUCUGAUACAGCACGUCUUGAGUCCGAGAGAGGUGGGUGGAAUUCCUAGUGUAGAGGUGAAAUUCGUAGAUAUUAGGAAGAACACCGGUGGCGAAGGCGGCCCACUGGCUCGGUACUGAGGCUGAGGUGCGAAAGCGUGGGGAGCAAAAAGG